Molecule: non-coding RNA, 52 nt
Submitted as: unclassified sequences
Source: Rfam
CGACCGCUAAGAAAUUAGCUGAGGCCACACGGACAGCCGGGUCGGACGCCGA